This 492-nucleotide ribosomal RNA is filed under the name uncultured bacterium. RNAcentral's name for it is "partial 16S ribosomal RNA". It matches the Rfam family "Bacterial small subunit ribosomal RNA", at positions 29 to 507 of the family's 1533-position model. The record is from RNAcentral.
AGUGAACGCUGGCGGUAGGCCUAACACAUGCAAGUCGAACGGCAGCACAGUAAGAGCUUGCUCUUACGGGUGGCGAGUGGCGGACGGGUGAGGAAUACAUCGGAAUCUACUUUUUCGUGGGGGAUAACGUAGGGAAACUUACGCUAAUACCGCAUACGACCUACGGGUGAAAGCAGGGGAUCUUCGGACCUUGCGCGAUUGAAUGAGCCGAUGUCGGAUUAGCUAGUUGGCGGGGUAAAGGCCCACCAAGGCGACGAUCCGUAGCUGGUCUGAGAGGAUGAUCAGCCACACUGGAACUGAGACACGGUCCAGACUCCUACGGGAGGCAGCAGUGGGGAAUAUUGGACAAUGGGCGCAAGCCUGAUCCAGCCAUACCGCGUGUGUGAAGAAGGCCUUCGGGUUGUAAAGCCCUUUUGUUGGGAAAGAAAAGCAGCAGGUUAAGACCCCGCUGUUCUGACGGUACCCAAAGAAUAAGCACCGGCUAACUUCGUG